RNAcentral lists this long non-coding RNA (870 nucleotides) under Vulpes vulpes (red fox). Its description in RNAcentral is "lncRNA (ENSVVUG00000011172.1)". Lineage: Eukaryota; Metazoa; Chordata; Mammalia; Carnivora; Canidae. The record is from RNAcentral.
CGGGGCGGCCACGCCUGGGAGCAUCAUGGCGGCCUCCCCGGUGCGCUCUUGCCGCCGCCUGUUGGGACUGCGCUCCAGGGCUGCUGACUCCGGUGGGAGUGGCUGCCCCGCGGGUUUCAGCGGAUUCGGUAGAGACGAUUUGUUCGUUGCUGCUUACUGCCUCGUCCAACACCGGCGAACGAAUGUGUGGGGCCAAGAUGAGAAAGUACGAGGAAAGGAAGGCCGGGUCUUGGUAUCCCGCCUUCCUGACCGAAGAGCCUGUUUCCCUCCUUGGGUUGACUUUGAUUUGCUCUGUAAUUUCCUUUAUCAAGAGCUUCAUUUUGAAAUGGAUCUAACCUUGAGUACCUCCUCAUCACUUUCCUAUAUUAGUCAGUCUGACUUCAGAGAGGCACAUUUACAGGAGGUAAGAAGGGGGAACAAGAUGGAUACUGAAGGACAGUGAAGCACAUCAGCCUCAGGGGAGCUGAUUUUUACUCAAGAUCUUUUUACCCAAGUGUGUCUGUGACCUAAAAAUAAGAUUUUAUAUUAUUAUUAAACAAGCAUUUAAACCUGCAAUGUCUCCCAUUUCUAAAAGUUAUUGUUGUUUCUACACUUAUGCAUAUUAUGCUAUAGAGUACCUUCAGCUUUCAAACUUCCUCAUUCAUCACUAAUUUAUUUAGCAAAUUGUUCUAAACACUUUUUAUGUGCCAAGCAUUAAAUUAGGCAUUGGGAUACAGAUAACAAGAGGAUAAGGUUCUUGAUUUCAAUAAGCUCAUACACUGAUUGGAGACAAAAAUUAGUUAAACCAUUCAUUGGAGCAUUCAAAAUCAGACUAGAGUGGGGAGGGUGAUAGGUAAUAAAGGAGCAAACUUUCAGAGGAGAUAAUGUGGU